Molecule: ribosomal RNA, 252 nt
Filed under: uncultured bacterium
Lineage: Bacteria
Description: partial 16S ribosomal RNA
Rfam family: Bacterial small subunit ribosomal RNA
Source: RNAcentral
UACGAAGGGGGCUAGCGUUGCUCGGAAUUACUGGGCGUAAAGCGCACGUAGGCGGCUUGGCAAGUCGGAUGUGAAAUCCCUCGGCUCAACCAAGGAAGUGCAUCCGAAACUGCUGAGCUUGAGUACUUAAGAGGAUCGCGGAAUUCCCGGUGUAGAGGUGAAAUUCGUAGAUAUCAGGAGGAACACCAGUGGCGAAGGCGGCUUUCUGGACGGUAACUGACGCUGAGACGCGAAAGCGUGGGAGCAAACAGG